GACGAACGCUGGCGGCGUGCUUAACACAUGCAAGUCGAACGGAAAGGCCCUGCCUGCAGGGUACUCGAGUGGCGAACGGGUGAGUAACACGUGGGUGAUCUGCCCUGCACUUCGGGAUAAGCCUGGGAAACUGGGUCUAAUACCGGAUAGGAGCCAUUUUUAGUGUGAUGGUUGGAUAGUUUUUUCGGUGUAGGAUGAGCUCGCGGCCUAUCAGCUUGUUGGUGGGGUAAUGGGCUACCAAGGCGGCGGCGGGUAGCCGGCCUGGGGGGGUGGACGGCCACAAUGGGGCUUAGGUACGGCCCCGACUCCCACGGGGGGCAGCAGUGGGGAAUAUUGCACAAUGGGCGCAAGCCUGGUGCAGCGACGCCGCGUGGGGGAUGACGGCCUUCGGGUUGGAAACUCCUUUCGCUAGGGACGAAGCUUUUUGUGACGGUACCUAGAUAAGAAGCACCGGCUAACUACGUG
RNAcentral lists this ribosomal RNA (465 nucleotides) under uncultured bacterium. RNAcentral's name for it is "partial 16S ribosomal RNA". It matches the Rfam family "Bacterial small subunit ribosomal RNA", at positions 28 to 507 of the family's 1533-position model. The record is from RNAcentral.